GACGAACGCUGGCGGCGUGCUUAACACAUGCAAGUCGAACGGAAAGGCCCUGCUUGCAGGGUACUCGAGUGGCGAACGGGUGAGUAACACGUGGGUGAUCUGCCCUGCACUUCGGGAUAAGCCUGGGAAACUGGGUCUAAUACCGGAUAGGAGCCAUUUUUAGUGUGAUGGUUGGAAAGUUUUUUUCGGUGUAGGAUGAGCUCGCGGCCUAUCAGCUUGUUGGUGGGGUAAUGGCCUACCAAGGCGGCGACGGGUAGCCGGCCUGAGAGGGGGGACGGCCACAUUGGGACUGAGAUACGGCCCAGACUCCUACGGGAGGCAGCAGUGGGGAAUAUUGCACAAUGGGCGCAAGCCUGAUGCAGCGACGCCGCGUGGGGGAUGACGGCCUUCGGGUUGUAAACUCCUUUCGCUAGGGACGAAGCUUUUUGUGACGGUACCUAGAUAAGAAGCACCGGCUAACUACGUG
RNAcentral lists this ribosomal RNA (466 nucleotides) under uncultured bacterium. Its description in RNAcentral is "partial 16S ribosomal RNA". It matches the Rfam family "Bacterial small subunit ribosomal RNA", at positions 28 to 507 of the family's 1533-position model. The record is from RNAcentral.